GAUGAACGCUGGCGGCGUGCUUAACACAUGCAAGUCGAACGGAAAGGCUCCUGCUUGCAGGGGUACUCGAGUGACGAACGGGUGAGUAACACGUGGGUGAUCUGCCCUGCACUUCGGGAUAAGCCUGGGAAACUGGGUCUAAUACCGGAUAGGACCACAUUUUGGAUGGUGUGGUGGAAAGUUUUUCGGUGUGGGAUGAGCUCGCGGCCUAUCAGCUUGUUGGUGGGGUAAUGGCCUACCAAGGCGUCGACGGGUAGCCGGCCUGAGAGGGUGUACGGCCACAUUGGGACUGAGAUACGGCCCAGACUCCUACGGGAGGCAGCAGUGGGGAAUAUUGCACAAUGGGCGCAAGCCUGAUGCAGCGACGCCGCGUGGGGGAUGACGGCCUUCGGGUUGUAAACUCCUUUCGCUAGGGACGAAGCGUUUUUGUGACGGUACCUGGAGAAGAAGCACCGGCUAACUACGUG
This 467-nucleotide ribosomal RNA is filed under the name uncultured bacterium. RNAcentral's name for it is "partial 16S ribosomal RNA". It matches the Rfam family "Bacterial small subunit ribosomal RNA", at positions 28 to 507 of the family's 1533-position model. The record is from RNAcentral.